AAGCGCCAGGCAGCUGAGCCCGGCAGCGGUGCCUGGACCGGCCUCCUGCGUGGGGGCUGUUUGCAAUCGCCAUGGAGCAGGUACCGGGGAGCCCGCCAGCGCCCCGCUCCCCUCAGACCCAGGGAUCUGGUAAAUCAUCUCAAGAAUAAAGUCAGAUUGAGAAGGUCUUCAGCUGAUGAUUCUAUUCUGGGGAAAAAUCCCCAAAGUAACUCAGUUGCAAGCUUUUACAAUUUUGCUGCAGUUGAAGGAAAAGUUGAUUUGUAGUCUGCAUUUCCCCAGAAAGAUUAAAUUCAAUGAGUAUGGCAGUACAUACCAGUAACAUUUACUUCAGCAUUUCAACUGGUACAUUCUCUAAACUCUCCAAGGGCUUGUUGGUGUAUGACAAUGACAUUUCAACAUUACAACUAAUGCUCUUCUCAACUGUCUGCUUUCUAAUGUCCUCCUGGGUUGCUAGGGCAUCUCUCAGUAAGAGCAAGGACACUUCCCAUCUCUAGUUACCUAAUAGCCAAGGGUUGCAUGGAGUCUACUUUCCCCUCUACCUCUAAUUCUUGUAGUAUGAUUUUCUCCCUCAGAUAAAUCAUCAUCUUCCACAGAUAAGGGCUGAUUAGUAAGGGUGUGACUGGUCAUCAAGGGAGGUACCUCUAAAAUAAGCUCCACAGAGUGCUAUGGCAAGAUGAAGCAGAACGGUAAAAGAGAGAUUUAGCAAAAAAAAAAAAAAAAAAAAAAAAAAAAGUUUCAGCUGGGAAAAGUCAUGUCUAUUGGGAGAGUUGUUGAAAGACACAGAAAGUGAAUAUUUUAUUGGAUUUUACUAUUGGUGGAAGGGACAAAGAUUUGUGGAGUUGUAGGCUUUGGCUUGAGACCCGAGAAGUGUCUUUACGAAUGCCUGACAGGCCUAGAAGUCUGAUUCUCCAGUAAGUAUCUCUAGUUGACCUAUGAAUGGGAAGGGAGAACUUGGAGCUUCUUGAACAAUUUUCUCAAGACAACAGCUGCCUUGUGAAGCCAUGAAGAAUUCAGCACAUUCCUUUUGCUGCAACUGUCUCAGAGGCAGAUGAAGGACUAUGGGAUGGCAUGGAGGAGGGACCAACAGGUCAUCAGAACAAUGGCUGUUGAACACAGAGGGGUGAAGACAGUGGAAUGCUGUGAAAAUCCUAGAGACUUAAAUAUUCAGGUAUGUUGCUUUUCACUUUGAAUCACUUCACUUUUUCGCUAAGAAUUUUCUGCAGAUGUGAAAUCUAUAUAAACAAGGAAAACUGCCGUUUGUGUAAAAAGGUUCAAAUGAAUGACUCAGUAGUCAGAAGAUUUAAAUAUUACAUUUUCAUAGGAAGGUUAACAUAGCUAGUAUAUUUGUGUGCGCAACAGAGCAGUUCACAUUACAUUUCCCAACUUCUGAUUCAUUCGUUUUGCAAUCUUAUGACACCAAUGUCUUUCUUUUGAACUAGAAUACAUCUACACAGCAAAAGAAUCUCAGAGCCUAGUGUACCGGGGGGGUGGGGGUGGCGCGUGGCGCAGGAGCAGGAGCUACAGUGCUAAAAUAGCUAUGUAGAUGUUGGGGUUCAGGGAAGGGCUUCAGAGUUCAAUCUCCAGCCUGAGCUUGAAUGUCUACACAGCUAUUUUUAGAGCUGUAGUGCAAGCCCCCUGAGCCCA
Non-coding RNA from Chelonoidis abingdonii (Abingdon island giant tortoise), 1644 nucleotides. NCBI's taxonomy places the organism in Eukaryota, Metazoa, Chordata, Testudines, Testudinidae. The record is from RefSeq and is a predicted model, not a curated record.